GAGCGGCGAACGGGUGAGUAACACGUGGGUGAUCUGCCCUGCACUUCGGGAUAAGCCUGGGAAACUGGGUCUAAUACCGGAUAUGACCUCCUGUCGCAUGGUGGGUGGUGGAAAGAUUUAUCGGUGCAGGAUGGGCCCGCGGCCUAUCAGCUUGUUGGUGGGGUAAUGGCCUACCAAGGCGACGACGGGUAGCCGACCUGAGAGGGUGACCGGCCACACUGGGACUGAGACACGGCCCAGACUCCUACGGGAGGCAGCAGUGGGGAAUAUUGCACAAUGGGCGAAAGCCUGAUGCAGCGACGCCGCGUGAGGGAUGACGGCCUUCGGGUUGUAAACCUCUUUCAGCAGGGACGAAGCGCAAGUGACGGUACCUGCAGAAGAAGCACCGGCUAACUACGUGCCAGCAGCCGCGGUAAUACGUAGGGUGCAAGCGUUGUCCGGAAUUACUGGGCGUAAAGAGUUCGUAGGCGGUUUGUCGCGUCGUUUGUGAAAACCAGCAGCUCAACUGCUGGCUUGCAGGCGAUACGGGCAGACUUGAGUACUGCAGGGGAGACUGGAAUUCCUGGUGUAGCGGUGAAAUGCGCAGAUAUCAGGAGGAACACCGGUGGCGAAGGCGGGUCUCUGGGCAGUAACUGACGCUG
Molecule: ribosomal RNA, 641 nt
Filed under: Rhodococcus sp. I15A-00855
Lineage: Bacteria; Bacillati; Actinomycetota; Actinomycetes; Mycobacteriales; Nocardiaceae
Description: bacterial SSU rRNA
Rfam family: Bacterial small subunit ribosomal RNA
Source: RNAcentral